AGUGAAUCUCCUUCGGGAGUGAAACUAGCGGCGGACGGGUGAGUAACACGUGGGCAACCUGCCUCAUAGAGGGGAAUAGCCUUUCGAAAGGAAGAUUAAUACCGCAUAAGAUUGUAGCUUCGCAUGAAGUAGCAAUUAAAGGAGUAAUCCGCUAUGAGAUGGGCCCGCGGCGCAUUAGCUAGUUGGUGAGGUAACGGCUCACCAAGGCGACGAUGCGUAGCCGACCUGAGAGGGUGAUCGGCCACAUUGGGACUGAGACACGGCCCAAACUCCUACGGGAGGCAGCAGUGGGGAAUAUUGCACAAUGGGGGAAACCCUGAUGCAGCGACGCCGCGUGAGCGAAGAAGUAUUUCGGUAUGUAAAGCUCUAUCAGCAGGGAAGAAAAAAUGACGGUACCUGACUAAGAAGCCCCGGCUAACUACGUGCCAGCAGCCGCGGUAAUACGUAGGGGGCAAGCGUUAUCCGGAUUUACUGGGUGUAAAGGGAGCGCAGGCGGUGCGGCAAGUCUGAUGUGAAAGCCCGGGGCUCAACCCCGGGACUGCAUUGGAAACUGUCGUACUUGAGUAUCGUAGAGGUAAGUGGAAUUCCUAGUGUAGCGGUGAAAUGCGUAGAUAUUAGGAGGAACACCAGUGGCGAAGGCGGCUUACUGGACGGUAACUGACGUUGAGGCUCGAAAGCGUGGGGAGCAAACAGGAUUAGAUACCCUGGUAGUCCACGCCGUANACGAUGAUUGCUAG
Molecule: ribosomal RNA, 737 nt
Filed under: uncultured bacterium
Lineage: Bacteria
Description: bacterial SSU rRNA
Rfam family: Bacterial small subunit ribosomal RNA
Source: RNAcentral